RNAcentral lists this ribosomal RNA (957 nucleotides) under Pseudoceros rawlinsonae. RNAcentral's name for it is "partial large subunit ribosomal RNA". It matches the Rfam family "Eukaryotic large subunit ribosomal RNA", at positions 81 to 846 of the family's 3401-position model. Lineage: Eukaryota; Metazoa; Platyhelminthes; Polycladida; Pseudocerotidae. The record is from RNAcentral.
UAGUAACGGCGAGCGAAGGAGGAAAAGCCCAGCACCGAAUCCUUCACCAUACCGGUGACAGGAAAUGUGGUGUUUAGGCCGUACUUUGUCCUGAUACGUCUCUCCUCAAGUCCACUUGAUUGUGGCCCUCGGCCCAGAGAGGGUGUAAGGCCCGUGGAGGCGAGAUGUUCAGUACCUGGUGCGUCCUUAGAGUCGGGUUGUUUGGGAAUGCAGCCCUAAGCGGGUGGUAAACUCCAUCCAAGGCUAAAUACCAGCACGAGUCCGAUAGCGAAGAAGUACCGCGAGGGAAGGUUGAAAAGAACUUUGAAGAGAGAGUUCAAGAGUACGUGAAACCGCUGAGAGGCAAACUGGUGGAACUGAAAUGGUCUCGAGGAAUUCAGCCGUUGGUGUUUGUACAGCCGGUGUCGUCUGAUUUAACGACAGCUUCAUCGGUUGACGCUUACGUCAUCGGUGCACUUUCCUCGUUGUGGACCCGACCACGACCGGUGAGCUGCUCUGUCCAUCGUGCUUGGAAGGUAGCGCCGUCUUCGGAAGGCGUGUUAUAGACUUGCGCAUGGAGCAGUACGGCACACUGGACGAUAGUGCCUGCCCAUUGGGCUCAUAUGGUGGUUGUUUUAUUGGCGAGUUCCGAUGUCACUACUUCGGUAGAGGCAUUGGUCUCUGUCAGCAUUAUGACUGUCCGCUAUGAUUGGCGCUGGUAAGUCUGUGGUUGUGAAGUAGGUAGUCCACCUGACCCGUCUUGAAACACGGACCAAGGAGUCUAACAUGUGCGCGAGUCAUUGGGUUCGCGAAACCUAAAGGCGAAGUGAAGGUAAAGAUCUGUUUUGGCAGAUUGAGGUGGGAUGCUGGGUUACGCGCCCAGCCGCACUACCGGCCCGUUCUACAUGUAUCUCAUGGGGGCGGAGCAANAGCGNACACGUUGGGACCCGAAAGAUGGUGAACUAUGCUUGCGCAGGU